Molecule: ribosomal RNA, 497 nt
Filed under: uncultured bacterium
Lineage: Bacteria
Description: partial 16S ribosomal RNA
Rfam family: Bacterial small subunit ribosomal RNA
Source: RNAcentral
GAUGAACGCUGGCGGCGUGCCUAAUACAUGCAAGUCGAGCGAACGGACGAGAAGCUUGCUUCUCUGAUGUUAGCGGCGGACGGGUGAGUAACACGUGGAUAACCUACCUAUAAGACUGGGAUAACUUCGGGAAACCGGAGCUAAUACCGGAUGCUAUUUUGAACCGCAUGGUUCAAAAGUGAAAGACGGUCUUGCUGUCACUUAUAGAUGGAUCCGCGCUGCAUUAGCUAGUUGGUAAGGUAACGGCUUACCAAGGCAACGAUGCAUAGCCGACCUGAGAGGGUGAUCGGCCACACUGGAACUGAGACACGGUCCAGACUCCUACGGGAGGCAGCAGUAGGGAAUCUUCCGCAAUGGGCGAAAGCCUGACGGAGCAACGCCGCGUGAGUGAUGAAGGUCUUCGGAUCGUAAAACUCUGUUAUUAGGGAAGAACAUAUGUGUAAGUAACUGUGCACAUCUUGACGGUACCUAAUCAGAAAGCCACGGCUAACUACGUG